GAAGUCUUGGAGCCUCGACUCUGCGAGCACUCGAAAGGAUCGCGGACGCUACGACUUGUUUGAUGGAAAGCUCAAAGAAGAAUGGAGCUAGGAGGGGCUUCCUGACCUUUGGGGGAAAGCCGAGCACGCAGAUCCUGGGCUCAAAUCAUUCUGCCUCUUCCCGGGGGCGUAUUGUGACCCAAGGGGAUUCCCUCCCUUUCUGGGCCUCGGUUUUAGAGAAAGGUCCUAAUGCGGGAGUGGUGGGGGUCAAAUCCGGCGCCUUCCCCAGCCUUCUAGGCCUGCCCGCUUCCAAACUGCCCCUAGCAGGACAGCGUCACGGUCUCCAUAGUGACAGAGGCCUGCCCCCAAUCCCUCUGCCACAUCUGCGUAUUGGGGGAAAUAGCACUGGAUGACGACAAAUUCCGGUUACUAAAUUAGGGUCCAACGCAUCCUGAGACCUCAAGCCGAUAACCUACUGGGAAGGUGCACAGCAUACGUCUCUGUCACAACUACUCAACUCUGCCGUUGUAGCAUGAAAGCAGCCAUGGGUGGUACGUAAAGGAAUGACUAUGUCUGUGAUUCGAUAAAAAUUUUUAUGGACACUGAA
Long non-coding RNA from Lagenorhynchus albirostris (white-beaked dolphin), 586 nucleotides. RefSeq lists it as uncharacterized. The record is from RefSeq and is a predicted model, not a curated record. The transcript is spliced from 2 exons. Lineage: Eukaryota; Metazoa; Chordata; Mammalia; Artiodactyla; Delphinidae.